RNAcentral lists this ribosomal RNA (508 nucleotides) under uncultured bacterium. RNAcentral's name for it is "partial 16S ribosomal RNA". It matches the Rfam family "Bacterial small subunit ribosomal RNA", at positions 30 to 523 of the family's 1533-position model. The record is from RNAcentral.
AUUGAACGCUGGCGGCAUGCCUUACACAUGCAAGUCGAACGGCAGCGGGGGAGAAGCUUGCUUUUCCUGCCGGCGAGCGGCGAACGGGUGAGUAAUACAUCGGAACGUGCCCUGUAGAGGGGGAUAACUAGUCGAAAGAUUAGCUAAUACCGCAUACGACCUGAGGGUGAAAGUGGGGGACCGCAAGGCCUCAUGCUAUAGGAGCGGCCGAUGUCUGAUUAGCUAGUUGGUGGGGUAAAGGCCUACCAAGGCGACGAUCAGUAGCUGGUCUGAGAGGACGAUCAGCCACACUGGGACUGAGACACGGCCCAGACUCCUACGGGAGGCAGCAGUGGGGAAUUUUGGACAAUGGGCGAAAGCCUGAUCCAGCAAUGCCGCGUGUGUGAAGAAGGCCUUCGGGUUGUAAAGCACUUUUGUCCGGAAAGAAAUGGCUCUGGUUAAUACCUGGGGUCGAUGACGGUACCGGAAGAAUAAGGACCGGCUAACUACGUGCCAGCCGCCGCAGUAA